RNAcentral lists this long non-coding RNA (1539 nucleotides) under Homo sapiens (human). RNAcentral's name for it is "HSALNT0016922". Lineage: Eukaryota; Metazoa; Chordata; Mammalia; Primates; Hominidae. The record is from RNAcentral.
UUUUUUUUUCAUUAUCAUGGUUCAGAUAACCAGAAAACCUUCCUGCUACAAAAUACCUACAAGUUCCACAUAAAAUACAAAAAAGAUAAUAAUAAUGAAGUCCUGCUUAAUGCAUAGCUGAGCAUAUAAGAAAAUGACAUUAGACAAGGGCCAAGAAUAGCAAUUUAAAACAUUAGUAUAAAACACAAUCAAAAAUCAACAAGCAGAUUUGGACUAUAAUGAAAUGGUUUUUCUAAAAGCCAAAAAUAUGGUCACUGAAAUUAAAAACUUGGUAAGUUUUAAACAGCAAACUAAACAUGGGUGAAGAGCGAGUAACUAAAUUGGAAAUGAUCUAAGGAGCUUAGCUACAAUGUAGCUUGAGAGAUAAAAAGAUUAAAAAUAAGGCAGGGCACAGUGGUACAUAUCAAUAAUCCCAUCACUUUGGGAGGACAAGAUGGGUAAAUCGCUUGAGUCCAGGAGUUCGAGACCAGCCUGGGCAACAUAGUGAAACCCCAUCUCUACAAAAAAUACAAAAAUUAACCGGUCAUGGCGGCUCACGCCUGUGGUCCCAGCUACUUAGGAGGCUGAGGUGGGAGGAUCACUUGAGCCCAGGAGGUUGAGGCUGCAGCAAGCCAUGAUCACUCUACUGCAUUUCAGCCUGGGCUAUAGAGUGAGACCCUGUCUCAAACAAACAAACAAACAAAAAACAGAUUAAAAAUAAAAUAAGAGAGUAAGAGACUUAGAAGAAAGAGCAAAAGGUCCUAUGUACAUGGAACCACAGAUCAAAAGAUAGAAAACAGAGAGAAAAGUGAGAAGGCAACAUUAGAAAAGAUAAUAGCUAUAAAUUUUCUAGAAUAGAUGAAACACAUAGAACUCGCCUUCAGGAAGCACAUGCCCUAAGUAGGGUAAAUAAAAAUAAAUCCACAUUUCAACACAUCAUAAGAAAUUGCAAAACAUCAAAGAGAAAUCUUUUUAAAAGACAGAAAACAGAAGACCAAUCUAUCCAAAAUGUUGAGAGAAACAGCUAAAUUAUAACUCAAGAAUGAGGGUAAAAAAAGGCAUUUUCCAACAAAGAGUGUCCCACUAAUAAUUCUGACAAAUAAUUAUGAAAAAAAUGUGUGUUAUGAAGAAAACUGAAUCCAUAACCAAGAUUGACAAUGCAAAAUAAAAUAGUGAACAAAGUCAUUAGUAAUAAUCUGGGAAAAUCUAAAUGAGCACUGACAGGAUAAAACAGUAAUCGUAACUAAUGUCAAGAAUAUAAAAGCAAGGUGGAACUAUAAUACUUAACAUCAAUAACAUGUAAGAUAGACAGAGUGGUCAGAGUUUAAGCUUUCAAAGCUUUCAUAUUGUUUAGGAAGAGGAGAGAAAUACUGAUUAAAUUCAGAUUUUGUCAACUAUCCAUGUCAAUUUUAAAAGAUGGCCACUAAAGUAAGAAAAAUAUAAUGUGUGUAAUUUUCAACCCUAAAAAGAGGAUAAAAGUGAACAUAAAAAAUCUCAACUUUUGGUUAAACAGGAUAGGUUGAACCACUGUUUUCUCUCUGCUGUCUUCUAACACCACUC